This 554-nucleotide ribosomal RNA is filed under the name uncultured bacterium. RNAcentral's name for it is "bacterial SSU rRNA". It matches the Rfam family "Bacterial small subunit ribosomal RNA", at positions 777 to 1345 of the family's 1533-position model. The record is from RNAcentral.
AAUAGAUACCCUGGUAGUCCACGCCGUAAACGAUGGAUGCUAGCUGUUAUGCGUAUCGACCCGUGUAGUAGCGAAGCUAACGCGUUAAGCAUCCCACCUGGGGAGUACGAACGCAAGUUUAAAACUCAAAGGAAUUGACGGGGACCCGCACAAGCGGUGGAGCGUGUUCUUUAAUUCGAGGCUAAGCGAAGAACCUUACCAGGGCUUGACAUCCUUGGAAUUUCUCCGAAAGGAGAGAGUACUUUAUUGGACCAAGUGACAGGUGCUGCAUGGCCGUCGUCAGCUCGUGUCGUGAGAUGUUUGGUUAAGUCCAUUAACGAGCGCAACCCUUAUGAAUAGUUGUAUUUUUCUAUUCAGACUGCCCCGGUAACGGGGAGGAAGGGGGGAUGAUGUCAGGUCAGUAUUGCCCUUACGCCCUGGGCUAGAAACGCGCUACAAUGGCCGGUACAAUGCGCUGCCAACCCGCGAGGGGGAGCAAAUCGCAUCAAAGCCGGUCCCAGUUCGGAUAAGAGGCUGAAACUCGCCUCUUUGAAGCCGGAAUCGCUAGUAAUCGU